UGGGGAAUAUUGGGCAAUGGAGGGAACUCUGACCCAGCAAUGCCGCGUGAGUGAAGAAGGUUUUCGGAUUGUAAAACUCUUUAAGCAGGGACGAAGAAAGUGACGGUACCUGCAGAAUAAGCAUCGGCUAACUACGUGCCAGCAGCCGCGGUAAUACGUAGGAUGCAAGCGUUAUCCGGAAUGACUGGGCGUAAAGGGUGCGUAGGCGGUAAAUCAAGUUGGCAGCGUAAUUCCGGGGCUUAACUCCGGAACUACUGCCAAAACUGGUGAACUAGAGUGUGUCAGGGGUAAGUGGAAUUCCUAGUGUAGCGGUGGAAUGCGUAGAUAUUAGGAGGAACACCGGAGGCGAAAGCGACUUACUGGGGCACAACUGACGCUGAGGCACGAAAGCGUGGGGAGC
Molecule: ribosomal RNA, 400 nt
Filed under: uncultured bacterium
Lineage: Bacteria
Description: bacterial SSU rRNA
Rfam family: Bacterial small subunit ribosomal RNA
Source: RNAcentral